UUAAGCGACUAAGCGUACACGGUGGAUGCCUUGGCAGUCAGAGGCGAUGAAGGACGUGCUAAUCUGCGAUAAGCGUCGGUAAGGUGAUAUGAACCGUUAUAACCGGCGAUUUCCGAAUGGGGAAACCCAGUGUGAUUCGUCACACUAUCAUUAACUGAAUCCAUAGGUUAAUGAGGCGAACCGGGGGAACUGAAACAUCUAAGUACCCGAGGAAAAGAAAUCAACCGAGAUUCCCCCAGUAGCGGCGAGCGAACGGGGAGCAGCCCAGAGCCUGAAUCAGUGUGUGUGUGUUAGUGGAAGCGUCUGGAAAGGCGUGCGAUACAGGGUGACAGCCCCGUACACAAAAAUGCACAUACUGUGAGCUCGAUGAGUAGGGCGGGACACGUGGUAUCCUGUCUGAAUAUGGGGGACCAUCCUCCAAGGCUAAAUACUCCUGACUGACCGAUAGUGAACCAGUACCGUGAGGGAAAGGCGAAAAGAACCCCGGCGAGGGGAGUGAAAAAGAACCUGAAACCGUGUACGUACAAGCAGUGGGAGCACGCUUAGGCGUGUGACUGCGUACCUUUUGUAUAAUGGGUCAGCGACUUAUAUUCUGUAGCAAGGUUAACCGAAUAGGGGAGCCGAAGGGAAACCGAGUCUUAACUGGGCGUUAAGUUGCAGGGUAUAGACCCGAAACCCGGUGAUCUAGCCAUGGGCAGGUUGAAGGUUGGGUAACACUAACUGGAGGACCGAACCGACUAAUGUUGAAAAAUUAGCGGAUGACUUGUGGCUGGGGGUGAAAGGCCAAUCAAACCGGGAGAUAGCUGGUUCUCCCCGAAAGCUAUUUAGGUAGCGCCUCGUGAAUUCAUCUCCGGGGGUAGAGCACUGUUUCGGCAAGGGGGUCAUCCCGACUUACCAACCCGAUGCAAACUGCGAAUACCGGAGAAUGUUAUCACGGGAGACACACGGCGGGUGCUAACGUCCGUCGUGAAGAGGGAAACAACCCAGACCGCCAGCUAAGGUCCCAAAGUCAUGGUUAAGUGGGAAACGAUGUGGGAAGGCCCAGACAGCCAGGAUGUUGGCUUAGAAGCAGCCAUCAUUUAAAGAAAGCGUAAUAGCUCACUGGUCGAGUCGGCCUGCGCGGAAGAUGUAACGGGGCUAAACCAUGCACCGAAGCUGCGGCAGCGACGCUUAUGCGUUGUUGGGUAGGGGAGCGUUCUGUAAGCCUGUGAAGGUGUGCUGUGAGGUAUGCUGGAGGUAUCAGAAGUGCGAAUGCUGACAUAAGUAACGAUAAAGCGGGUGAAAAGCCCGCUCGCCGGAAGACCAAGGGUUCCUGUCCAACGUUAAUCGGGGCAGGGUGAGUCGACCCCUAAGGCGAGGCCGAAAGGCGUAGUCGAUGGGAAACAGGUUAAUAUUCCUGUACUUGGUGUUACUGCGAAGGGGGACGGAGAAGGCUAUGUUGGCCGGGCGACGGUUGUCCCGGUUUAAGCGUGUAGGCUGGUUUUCCAGGCAAAUCCGGAAAAUCAAGGCCGAGGCGUGAUGACGAGGCACUACGGUGCUGAAGCAACAAAUGCCCUGCUUCCAGGAAAAGCCUCUAAGCAUCAGGUAACAUCAAAUCGUACCCCAAACCGACACAGGUGGUCAGGUAGAGAAUACCAAGGCGCUUGAGAGAACUCGGGUGAAGGAACUAGGCAAAAUGGUGCCGUAACUUCGGGAGAAGGCACGCUGAUACGUAGGUGAAGCGACUUGCUCGUGGAGCUGAAAUCAGUCGAAGAUACCAGCUGGCUGCAACUGUUUAUUAAAAACACAGCACUGUGCAAACACGAAAGUGGACGUAUACGGUGUGACGCCUGCCCGGUGCCGGAAGGUUAAUUGAUGGGGUUAGCGCAAGCGAAGCUCUUGAUCGAAGCCCCGGUAAACGGCGGCCGUAACUAUAACGGUCCUAAGGUAGCGAAAUUCCUUGUCGGGUAAGUUCCGACCUGCACGAAUGGCGUAAUGAUGGCCAGGCUGUCUCCACCCGAGACUCAGUGAAAUUGAACUCGCUGUGAAGAUGCAGUGUACCCGCGGCAAGACGGAAAGACCCCGUGAACCUUUACUAUAGCUUGACACUGAACAUUGAGCCUUGAUGUGUAGGAUAGGUGGGAGGCUUUGAAGUGUGGACGCCAGUCUGCAUGGAGCCGACCUUGAAAUACCACCCUUUAAUGUUUGAUGUUCUAACGUGGACCCGUGAUCCGGGUUGCGGACAGUGUCUGGUGGGUAGUUUGACUGGGGCGGUCUCCUCCUAAAGAGUAACGGAGGAGCACGAAGGUUGGCUAAUCCUGGUCGGACAUCAGGAGGUUAGUGCAAUGGCAUAAGCCAGCUUGACUGCGAGCGUGACGGCGCGAGCAGGUGCGAAAGCAGGUCAUAGUGAUCCGGUGGUUCUGAAUGGAAGGGCCAUCGCUCAACGGAUAAAAGGUACUCCGGGGAUAACAGGCUGAUACCGCCCAAGAGUUCAUAUCGACGGCGGUGUUUGGCACCUCGAUGUCGGCUCAUCACAUCCUGGGGCUGAAGUAGGUCCCAAGGGUAUGGCUGUUCGCCAUUUAAAGUGGUACGCGAGCUGGGUUUAGAACGUCGUGAGACAGUUCGGUCCCUAUCUGCCGUGGGCGCUGGAGAACUGAGGGGGGCUGCUCCUAGUACGAGAGGACCGGAGUGGACGCAUCACUGGUGUUCGGGUUGUCAUGCCAAUGGCACUGCCCGGUAGCUAAAUGCGGAAGAGAUAAGUGCUGAAAGCAUCUAAGCACGAAACUUGCCCGAGAUGAGUUCUCCCUGACCCUUUAAGGGUCCUGAAGGAACGUUGAAGACGACGACGUUGAUAGGCCGGGUGUGUAAGCGCAGCGAUGCGUUGAGCUAACCGGUACUAAUGAACCGUGAGGCUUAACCUU
This 2900-nucleotide ribosomal RNA is filed under the name Shigella boydii. Its description in RNAcentral is "bacterial LSU rRNA". It matches the Rfam family "Bacterial large subunit ribosomal RNA". The record is from RNAcentral. Lineage: Bacteria; Pseudomonadati; Pseudomonadota; Gammaproteobacteria; Enterobacterales; Enterobacteriaceae.